UCCACUUUCCCAUGGUUUGCCUCAGAUGGCUGUGAACUAUUUUUAAAGUUGCCAGAAAAAACCACCACCCACAUGCUUGCUUUUUCCACCCCACCCUUGUUUCAAAACCAGCCUGACUGGUGUAAAAACUGUGACAAUGUCAACUCUGGGCACUCUAGUCCAUUGCAGGACACCACACACAUUCAUGCACUUGUUCACACCUAGGGUCAAUUUAGAGUCCACCUGCAUGUUUUUGGGAGAUCAGAAGAAACCAGACGAAACCCACAUGGACAAGGCAGAAGCAGAUGAGAUUAAUAAUAAGGAAAUGGAAAUAAGUAUAAGCAAAACAAGUUGCUAAAGACUGAUGUGUUGGAUGGAGGGCUGGGAGCCAUUUUGUCCCAGGUGGUGGAGGCAGAGGAGCACCUUGUUCUGUACAUCAGCCGUGAGGGAGACCAUUUACAGCACCAUCUAGAAGGAGUGUCUGUCCAUCAAGUGGGCAGUCCUCAACCUCUGAUACUACCUGUUGGGGUGCCCUUUCACCCUGUGUUCCAAUCACAUCCUGCUCCAAUGGCUCCACCACAUGAAGGAUGCCAACAUGUGGAUCACUUGUUGGCAUCUGGCACUUCAACCAUUCAAAUUCAAGAUGGUCCACAGACUGGCAGCACAGACGGUGGUGGCAGAUUACCUCUCCUCUCAGGGGGGGGAGUCAGCUGCAGGCAAGACAGCUCCCUGGCCUGAGUUGGGCGGUGGGGGUAUGUGGUGGCAAGGGUGUGGUUGAGUGUCAGCUGUGAAUGGAGAUGAGGCAGGUCGAACCAGAAGAUGCCUGGACCUCCUCCCUAUCCAGCCCCAGAAGGCUGACAAGAGCUGGCCCAUGUCCCUCAACUGUCUGCUCAACCCUCUGCACCAGCCGAAGAAGAACCGCGGGGUGCUGUAGGAGGACUGGAUGAAGGGGCUGACAUGAAAAGUCAUACCAGGUCCGGUGGCUCAUUUCAAUCCCUGACUCCUGAGACUGGUGAGAAACAAGAACCAGAGCUGAACCAGAUGCCUUUGAUCAAAUUCCUGAACCAGAUGGCUGGACAGGAUGCUGGAGGUAGUAGAGUGCAUCCUGAGGCUGUGUACAUUUUUCAGCCAUUUGAGUUGUCUGAAAUAGACUCGAUGGUCAAAGACAUCAUGUGUCCCAAAGUGAAUGUAGAUCAGUGCAUCAAAGACUUGGAAGCUGUUGAUGAUAUGGUCAAUCUGACCAAUCAAGAGUGGAAUAAAUUCAUGGCUAGAGUCUUUGGGCUGAAAUGGGAACAAGAAGUGAGCUGAGCAUCCAUGGGAGCCCAAUGCAAUUCGACACGCUGAGCAUCGUCACAUGAAUUGGGACCACCUGAUGAGACAAAUCAAAGACACCUUCCUGCAUUGGCUGAAAGAAUAAAGACUAUACCGAGCUGAUGGAUCAUGCUGAAAGAUCCCUGAUGGACAAACAAAGUAAGACCCAGAACUCUCUUCAAAUGGCACAACUUCAAUUCUAUCAAGACAAUCAACAGUUUGGGAGAGGAAAUGGUGGCUAUCGAGGGAGGGCGUUGUUGAGGCUGAAGUGUUGGUUGAGGCUGUGGUCAAGGUAGAAGCACCUAUGGUGCUUGUUAUUGUGGCCAGCUAGGCCAUUUUAUAAGAGAUUGUCCACAGUUGUUAGAACAACCAAGUUCCUAAAUUCGAAGUUACAACACCUAGACAGACAUUGGAUGAGGUGGAGGAACAGAAUGUCAUAAACCAAAAUUUGCAAUUAACCAUUGAUUCUAAAACAGAGCCAUUUAUUGAGUUAACUGUUAAAGGUAAAGUAAUUCCCUUUAUGGUAGAUACAUGCUCAGUAUUGUCUAAAACUGUGCUCCUUGUUCAGUUUUUAUAUUUACUGUUGGGUGUCAGGUGCCACUAAAUUAGGGUCCAAAUUGAUUGGUCAUAAGUUCGUAGUUUCCAAAUGCUGUCCUGUUAAACUUAUGGGAAGAGAUUUGUUAACAAGGUUUAAUAUUCACAUUUCAUGCCAUUUCAAUGAAAUUGGUCUAUUUUCAUUGUGUCAUCCUAGCUUGUGUUUUUACUCAUGGAACGUCACGGACUGUGUUACAUCCCGGUCCUUGUAUUCCAGGGUAGCACAGAGGGAUGGGAAUUUUUGCAUUGCACUAGUCUGUUCCUCCACACUGGUCCUGAUGCCACUUAUGAAAAUUAUUGGUUUCCAGGGUCUUCAAAUGAAAGUUUGAUAAUUGGUGAUAUAUUUCAGAGUGAUCAGUUUAUUGGCACACCUGUAGAACUCAACCGUGAGCAGCAAUCUCUAUUUAGGGUUGAAGAGAGUGUACCUCACAUGGCUAAAAAAGGAGGCAGUUGGAAGGAAGUUGGCAAGUGGAUGAAGAGUGUGUUAGCAUGUAGGGAUUAGAUAAAUGAGGGUGCCAUUAGUUUUUCACCAUCUUUACAAACAAAGCGCUUUUCUAACUAGACAGGAUGUAUGUGUGGGGUCUGAUGCAUCAGCAGUAGAAACAUUUCCAUUUUUAGACAGAAUCCCAACAAAAUUGUGGUCCAAAGAAUUGUUUGAUAUUGGUGUGAUGAAAAACAGUCAACCAUUGCAGGUGGAUACCAAAUCGAAUUAUAGGCCUUAUAGACCACAGUAUCCUCUUUCAGCUGAAGCUGAACAAGCUGAACUUUUAAAGAAGGGAGCAAUUUCUCCCUGUACACACUCCCCUGUUUCCAGCCCUUUGUUAGCAUUAAAAAAGGAUAAUGGUAAAUACAUGACGGUGCAGGAUUUAAGACUUAAUUAAAUUUAAGUAAAUGAGGCUAUUUUUACAUCUGUACCUAUUAUUCUAAAUCCUGCUACAAUUUUAUCUGAGAUCCCACCCACAUCUCAGUAUUUUUUAUUUAUUGAUUUUUUUAUUUAUUGAUAGACAGUAGUUACUACUUCAAUUUUUGUUUUAAUGGUAAGCGCUACCAAUGGAUGAUGACAAGAGUUUUUACUGAUUCCCCAAAUUUCUUUACCACACAAUUACUACAAAAUUUAGAGUCAUUUGUAGCACCUGCUGGUAGCACAUUGAUCAUUUAUGUAGCUAAGCGUCCAUUGGCAAGCCCCAGUAAAGAAGCCUGUUGUCAUGAUACUGAGGCACUGCUAAUAUUUCUUGCUGAAAAUGGCCAUAAGUGCACACGUGACAAGUUGCAACGGAUUAAACAAUCUGUGAAAUAUUUUGGUCAUAUUAUUUCCAAUAAAUAUAGACAGAUCAACCCAGCUAGGAUAGUUUCAAUUUCUAAGUUACUCAAACCUCACACCAAGAAGCAGGUUAUGUCACUUCUUGGCAUGUUAAAUUAUUGUUGUGCUUGUAUACCUGAUUAUGCAGAAAUCUCCCAACCAUUAUCAGAUCUAGCUCACAAAUACCCCAUUCAGAUGAAUGUUCCAGUAAUAUCGACAGAAGAAGCCACAGCUAUAACACCUUAAAUCUGCCUUAGCCUGUUCUCCUUGUCUGGGUAACUCAGAUUAUGCUAAACCCUUUAGAUCGAACACCAGGUAACUAACAUUUCAGAAUGCUUUAUUUUUGUUACAAAAUGUGACUAUACACAAGGGCACCACUUUAAAUCCAGCAACUCCUCUCCCCACCAUUGAAGACAGUGUGCCACAGUUCUAUUUGACGGUACUGGACAUAAUAUCUAAUACGACCUGACUUGAGUGACAUUCCUAAUCUAAAUUCUGACUGCAUUUAUUUUGUUGAUGGUUCUAGUCUGAGGUUGUCUGAUGCUUUACUGUCAUUUGCUUAUGCUGCAUGUGAUCAACAUUCAGUUGCAUUUAGAACAUUGCUGACAUGAUUCUGUGUCACGUGGAAAUGCAUUAGCUGACUUGCAGACUGUGCAGACACAUGAUACACACACUCUGCUGGUACAGCCAGAUGUCAAUCUCACUGAUCUAAAUGAGUUACCUCUCUUACAACAAGCUGCUAUGAUACAGGAACUGAAACUGUGGAAAGCACACUGCAGAGAGGACCCAAAAUCAGACACAUGGCUGGAUGAUCAGAACAGACCAGCCAUUCCAAAAACUAUAUACUUCCCAUAUUUGGCAAAACUCACUCAUGCCAUGGACCACGUAUCUAAGGGAGGUAUGCUAGACUUGGUAAAUAAAUACUGGUACGCACCUAGCUUUUCAACUUUUGCAACACAAUUUUGUGAUGUUUACAAACAAACAUUGGUAAUAUUCUUCAGAGUGCACAUCCCGCACCUGAUGCACCUUUUGAGCAUCUAUUGAUGGAUUUCAUUGAACUUACUCCUGCUCAAGGAUACAGCUAUUGUCUAGUAAUAGUUGACAUGUCUCUCUUGCAGGAGACAAGAUGCACUUACAGGCUAAACACUUCAUACAUGACGUCAUACGUGUGAAGAACAUGAUGGUGAGGAAGAUAGGAGGUGGCACUUUUCUUAAUAUAUGAUAAUCACGUUUGCCUUGCACCUCUGGGUUUGAGGGUUUAAAUCCCACCUCUGUCCUGUGUGUGAGUGUAGUUUGCCGGUUCUCCCCGUGCUUUGGGGGUUUCCUUCAGGUACUCUGGUUUCCUCCUCCACUCCAAACACAUGCAUUGUAGGCUGACUGGCAUUUCCAAAUUGCCUGUAGUGUGUGAUUGUGUGUGGGUGUAUGUGUGAUUGUAACCUGCAAUGGGUUGGCACCUCAUCUACAGUAUCCCCUGCACUGUGCCCCGAGUUCCCUGCAAUAGGCUCCAGGCUCCCCUGAGACCCUGUGUAGGACAAGUGGUACAGAAAAUGGAUGAAUAAUCAGUGUACUCAGUCAUCCAAUAGGAUGUUGAGUUCCAUGUUCUUUACUAAAUGAAUAAAAAUAACUAUGAAAUGUAUAAUUCAUAAAUGUAAACAUAUAUACUCUGUCUCAACUCUCAUAGCACUCUGAGGCAAGGUACAGUUGGUAACGUAAGAGAAGCUACCCAGGCUCGUGAGCAAUUGCUGAUUAAAUAAAAUAUUUACUUGAGCACAUUGAAGUGUUUGGUAGUAAUUUCUCAUUUUACAGGUGAAUUUCCACCACACAGCAUAAUUAUUAUUUAAAGUUGUUGGAUAUCUAUGUGUGAAAUGGAUAUAAGCCUGAUUAAUUCAGUUUAUAAUAAAAUGUAGACUCUCCCUUUUCACUUCUGGUGGUAAUGUUUUAAUGUUGGUUGAGAUUGCUGCCAAAAACAAAACAAAACAAAACAUAUUUCUCCCAGGCCACUACGCAAAUGCUAAGAAGGGAACAAAACUGAUAUCUUCUGUUUUCCCCAUUGUAGCCAAUUACGGAGAGCACUGAACUCCUUCUUAGGAUGAAUGUCUGAAUAUUUGAGUGCUAUGGUAGCAAAAACACUGUUUAGGAAAUCCCAAAGUGCAAACUGGACAUUGAUGUUUACUGAAAACCAAGUCAUGCAGAUCAGUAUUUGGUAUUUAAUUCUCACACUGUGCACACCACGUGGCAGGUGAAAAUGUUCCAACCUGCUCUUACUGUCUGCUCUCAACCUGUUUUUAAUGUCAACUGACAGUAAAAGAUUUAAAAGGUCAUAGUCAUUAUUUAAAUUGUCACUAGGUCCAACACACCAACAACUAAAGAGUAUGAACACAGUGACUGAAAUUGCAGUGGCAGAGGGUUGUGAAAAACUCAGGAGGAUUUUUAGCAAACAUUGAAUCAUGGUAUGUUUUGUUAAAAAUAAAAGAAAAAAAAAAGAAGAGACACCAAAUUACAGGAAGAGCAACCAAAGUCUGGUUGAAUGUCCAGGAUUGUAUAACAGUGAAAUAAAAUGUCCCAAGACAGGAGAGCAAAGUGCUCAGGUCAAGACACUAUUUUCUACCUACAACUCAAGAACAAGGGAUACUAUUUUAAGGAGAGUAAUACACACAUUCUGUACCAAAGUGACACUCAUGAAAAGUGGAGGAGUACACAUCUGAGACGUCAUAUAUCAGCUACUUACAGUGGUGUAAAAAAAAAAAAAAAAGUUCAGCAGUUUCACCAGUGCACAUCUUUGGACCCAAAUGUCUCAUCACUCUCACAUAGUCUUGUGAAUCACGCACAGUGCAGGUUUAAAUGUCGGGGAUUUUCCUCCAUUCACUAGACAUAAUGAAAUCCCUCGAAUGAGCCAAGGUCUCUAUGAUAUAAAACACAACUGUAAGCACCUAGACAUAAUACUAUGAGUCAGUGAUCAUAUAUCAAUUGACUAAAGCCCAGUACAGACAAAAUAAUUCUGAUUGGAGUGCAAGUAGUUCCAGCACUGCUUGCGUUGGCCUUUUAUUUAAAUGUUUUUUUUUUUUUUUAAUUCUUGGUUUAAAAGUUCAGCCACUUUAAACAAUGUCCUUCUUGCCCUUAUAAAGGAUUAG
Molecule: long non-coding RNA, 6315 nt
Organism: Pangasianodon hypophthalmus (striped catfish)
Lineage: Eukaryota; Metazoa; Chordata; Actinopteri; Siluriformes; Pangasiidae
Exons: 3
Source: RefSeq, a predicted model, not a curated record